UUAGGAUUUGGUUAGAUUUGUAGUUAAAUCCUAUUUGAAUAAGAAUUAAUAUUUAAAUCUGUUUGAGAUAAAUUAAGAUUUAAAUAUUAAUUAGAGGAUAAACCUAACUAGAUUAGGAUUAAUAUUUAAAUCUAUUAGAGAUUGAUUAAGAUAGAUUUAGAUAUUAUUUAAAGUAUGAAUCCUAAAUAUAUUAGGAUUGGGAUACGUUUUAAGUUGAGCAUUAUAAAUAGGCAUUGUGGCUCUCUUUUUUGGGAGGAGUACGGCUGAAGCUUGGGUGCCAUACCAGAGAGAGAAAAAGAGAGAGAGAGUUAUUUAGUGCACCUAGUGCAUGGGUGCACGUAGAUGGGUUGUCUUUUAGGUUUAUAAAAGACGAGAGAAGGGUAGAAAAGAUUCAGGAAGAGGGCUCGGGUUGUAGCUACUCAGUUGCAGAAGAGGAGUCAGGUGUAAUCUUCUCUUAUUUAAUGAAUCUUAUUUUACCUGCAUAUUUUUUUUUCUUUUAUGAUUGUAUCAGCUUUUGCAGAGGAGACAGGUUUAUGGUAAAAACUCGAUUUGACGUUUCUGUUGCGGAAUCCCAACAAUCGAUACCGGAUCCAUAGUAGU
This 600-nucleotide long non-coding RNA is filed under the name Ananas comosus (pineapple). RNAcentral describes it as "long non-coding RNA (ACOM_LNC005260)". The record is from RNAcentral. Lineage: Eukaryota; Viridiplantae; Streptophyta; Magnoliopsida; Poales; Bromeliaceae.